RNAcentral lists this microRNA precursor (76 nucleotides) under Daphnia magna. RNAcentral's name for it is "Dma-Mir-210_pre stem-loop". The record is from RNAcentral. Lineage: Eukaryota; Metazoa; Arthropoda; Branchiopoda; Diplostraca; Daphniidae.
AGCUGCUGAACACUGCCCAAGAUUGGCGUGAACAAUUCUAACGGAAGGCAACUCUUGUGCGUGUGACAGCGGCUAU